This 73-nucleotide transfer RNA is filed under the name Culex quinquefasciatus (southern house mosquito). RNAcentral's name for it is "tRNA-Thr". The record is from RNAcentral. Lineage: Eukaryota; Metazoa; Arthropoda; Insecta; Diptera; Culicidae.
GCAGGCGUGUUCGAAUGGUUACGCUGUUCGCGUUGUAAGCGGAUGAUCAGGGGUUCGUUUCCCAUCUUCUAUU